CGCCUCUCGACUAAUUUAUGAGAGGUCCAGCCUGCCCAGUGACGUAGUUAAACGGCCGCGGUACCCUGACCGUGCGAAGGUAGCAUAAUCACUUGUUCUUUAAAUGGGGACUAGUAUCAACGGCACCACGAGGGCUUCCCUGUCUCCUUUUUCCAAUCAGUGAAACUGAUCUCCCUGUGAAGAAGCAGGGAUAUCUAUAUAAGACGAGAAGACCCCAUGGAGCUUUAAACCCAACUGACAUCCUGACACACACAAUUCAAUUUAGUCAUUAAAGACAUGUCUGUUGGUUUUAGGUUGGGGUGACCGCGGAGUAAAACUGAACCUCCACGACGCACGGGACUACCCCCUUAUCUAAGAGCCACAUCUCUAAGAAUUAAAACAUUAACGUAAAAUGAUCCAAAUGUUUGAUCAACGGACCAAGUUACCCUGGGGAUAACAGCGCAAUCCAUUUCAAGAGCCCCUAUCGACAAAUGGGUUUACGACCUCGAUGUUGGAUCAGGGUAUCCCAGUGGUGCAGCCGCUACUAAUGGUUUGUUUGUUCAACAAUUAAAACCCU
This 556-nucleotide ribosomal RNA is filed under the name Sphaerotheca breviceps (Indian burrowing frog). Its description in RNAcentral is "partial 16S ribosomal RNA". It matches the Rfam family "Bacterial large subunit ribosomal RNA", at positions 1816 to 2597 of the family's 2925-position model. The record is from RNAcentral. Lineage: Eukaryota; Metazoa; Chordata; Amphibia; Anura; Dicroglossidae.